AACGAACGCUGGCGGCAUGCCUAACACAUGCAAGUCGAACGAGACCUUCGGGUCUAGUGGCGCACGGGUGCGUAACGCGGGGGAACCUGCCCUUAGGUUCGGAAUAACUCCCCGAAAGGGGUGCUAAUACCGGAUAAUGUCUUCGGACCAAAGAUUUAUCGCCUUUGGAUGGGCCCGCGUUGGAUUAGCUAGUUGGUAGGGUAAAAGCCUACCAAGGCGACGAGCCAUAGCUGGUCUGAGAGGAUGAUCAGCCACACUGGGACUGAGACACGGCCCAGACUCCUACGGGAGGCAGCAGUGGGUAAUAUUGGGCGAUGGGCCAAAGCCUGAUCCAGCAAUGCCGCGUGAGUGAUGAAGGCCUUAGGGUUGUAAAGCUCUUUUACCCGGGAUGAUAAUGACAGUACCGGGAAAAUAAGCUCCGGCUAACUCCGUG
This 433-nucleotide ribosomal RNA is filed under the name uncultured bacterium. RNAcentral's name for it is "partial 16S ribosomal RNA". It matches the Rfam family "Bacterial small subunit ribosomal RNA", at positions 29 to 507 of the family's 1533-position model. The record is from RNAcentral.